Molecule: long non-coding RNA, 416 nt
Organism: Oreochromis niloticus (Nile tilapia)
Lineage: Eukaryota; Metazoa; Chordata; Actinopteri; Cichliformes; Cichlidae
Exons: 3
Source: RefSeq, a predicted model, not a curated record
UGUGUCUGCAGGAGAGGAGUCGAGCAGAGAGAGCUGCUUUUUCAUGAAACGGGAGUAAAGUAGUGAACUUACAGGAACAUAUACCACUACCGACGUUGGGAUCGAUAUCUGCAUCGAUCUGCACACCCUUGUCUCCUGGAUCGUAGCUGAGAUCAGCGUGAACCACGUGGGUCUCUGCUCCCUGAUCUCUUUCCUGUGUUUGGAAAAACUUCCUGCUUCAUCACGGAGUUUCUCUCGGUUUGUGGGCUCAUCUAAAGCUGAGUAACAGGAGAAGAGUCUGGUGGAGCAACAGAGGAACAAUUUCAGCCAUUUGGACUCAGCUCAGCCACUACAGAGGAAACAAUGACUUCAACACAAAAGGACCAACAUGGAGCGAGAAGUCAGUGCUCUCAGGAGGCCGACAAACCUCACAGAAG